AAACUGGGAUUAGAUACCCCACUAUGCUUAGCCCUAAAUCUUGAUGUCUUCCCCCCAUACCAGAACAUCCGCCCGAGGACUACGAGCACAAACGCUUAAAACUCUAAGGACUUGGCGGUGUCCCAAACCCACCUAGAGGAGCCUGUUCUGUAAUCGAUAACCCACGUUACACCCAACCGCCUCUUGCCAAGUACAGCCUAUAUACCGCCGUCGCCAGUUCACCUCUCCUGAGAGCCCAGUAGUGAACGUAAUAGCCUAAACCCGCUAGUAAGACAGGUCGAGGUAUAGCCUACGAGGCGGAAGAAAUGGGCUACAUUUUCUAAAAUAGAAAAUUCCACGGAAGGGGGCGUGAAAUCGCCUUCUGAAGGCGGAUUUAGUAGUAAAGUUAGAUAAUUUAAGCUCUCUUUAAACUGGCUCUGGGACACGUACAUACCGCCCGUCACCCUC
This 447-nucleotide ribosomal RNA is filed under the name Numenius minutus. RNAcentral describes it as "partial 12S ribosomal RNA". It matches the Rfam family "Bacterial small subunit ribosomal RNA", at positions 769 to 1404 of the family's 1533-position model. Lineage: Eukaryota; Metazoa; Chordata; Aves; Charadriiformes; Scolopacidae. The record is from RNAcentral.